UUUUAAUCUUCUGCUGAAGCAAAAGCUAAAGAAAAUUCUGGAAUUCAAAGUGAAUUCCAAAUUUGGAAAAUUAAAAUUCAGGGGUUGCUUCUAAGACUCUGUCAUUUCUUUCCACUGAUUCUUGAUUUUGCUAAAGUUAGUUUUGGACUGAAAUUGAGGCCUUCUUCUGGGAUUUACUGAUGUUAGUUGCUGUGUGUUGAGUUUUCAUCAAACUGUGGUGGAAUCUUGCUUUUAGCUGUUUCUCAUGUUCAGAGAUUUAUUUUCUGUUUCUUUAGUUUUGGCUCCUACAAAGCUAGAGAGCCUCUCUGAAAAUACUGUUAGUAGGCGAAGUGGUGGUGACUGCACACAUAGCUCUAAUUCAGAUUGCUUAACUGAUUUGGCUAAACCAAUAGUUAGCAAAAAAGAAGGAAACACCAGAAGUGUUUGUGUACUCCAGUGCAGUGACGUGUUGAUUUAAAUAAUGCCAAAAGCUCUUAUCUAGUCCAAUUGUCAUUGUUACUCUAUUUUCCGGAUCCAUGUGGUCAUUCUGAAUUGUAGUUAGAUUAAUUGAAACUUGUAAUUCUUACAAAUUGGCACUGUA
Long non-coding RNA from Nicotiana tabacum (common tobacco), 580 nucleotides. RefSeq lists it as uncharacterized. Lineage: Eukaryota; Viridiplantae; Streptophyta; Magnoliopsida; Solanales; Solanaceae. The record is from RefSeq and is a predicted model, not a curated record.